Long non-coding RNA from Capsicum annuum, 719 nucleotides. RefSeq lists it as uncharacterized. Lineage: Eukaryota; Viridiplantae; Streptophyta; Magnoliopsida; Solanales; Solanaceae. The record is from RefSeq and is a predicted model, not a curated record. The transcript is spliced from 4 exons.
GCAACCCUAACCCUCAUUUUAUCUCCCUCACAGCCGCACCCCCUUUUCUUUUCUCUCUCUCUUCUCUUAUCCUUCUCUUCCUCCCUAAACUUCCACCACGACUGCCGCCGCUGGAGCAGUCCACCGAACAGUCGGCGGCCCUUCUCACCUCUCUCAUGUCAUUGCCUCACCACCACCGGCGAAAACAACAACAGUCCAACCAAGCUCCAAGCGCUGACCAGUCCCCGUUCAGCCACUGUCCCCGCAUCGUCUAGUCCAACGAACCGGACAGCUGCCGGUUUUAGAUUGAACGAAAUGGUGAAAGUACCAAAGGAUUGCGGUGGAGUACAGUGAAGUUAACGGCAUCACCGUUAAUUCAGCUGAAAUACUGGAAGCUGCAUGUCAAUUACUGGAUCUUAGCAUUCUGAUCACAUACGGUGCUUUUGAGUAUAUUUUGAUGGUACUGUAUGUCUGCGACAUUGACUGGAACUUGAAUCAAAUGAAUUAUGCCUCUAUGAUUAUUCUUGCUCUACUAUUUAUGAUGAAACUUGAUUAUAGCUGGAUAUAUCAACGAAAUAUUGAUAAUAGAAUGGGUGAGGCUGAGAAUGAAGAUGUGGAUGAUGAAUUGUAGUUGUUAGUCUUUUGUAUGUUUUAUAGUCUUUUGUGGUUGGUUGAUUGUAUAUUAAAUGAUUGGUGAGCUGUAUUAUAAAUAAUUUGAUUUGAAUUUUAAUGUUUGUAAA